This is an RNA transcript of Prosopis cineraria, 1272 nucleotides long. It is a transcript of the gene named protein WEAK CHLOROPLAST MOVEMENT UNDER BLUE LIGHT 1-like, with no coding region annotated. The record is from RefSeq and is a predicted model, not a curated record. Lineage: Eukaryota; Viridiplantae; Streptophyta; Magnoliopsida; Fabales; Fabaceae. The transcript is spliced from 5 exons.
UAAACCCUAUCCUCCUUGUUUCGUCACCUUGCCACUAUGGCGCCACCACCUCUGAGAGAGAUAUUGUUGUACUCCUCACUCACUUCGUCAGCUUUAAGCCUAAACCCUAGCUGCUUCGAUUAUUUUCUUCUCUCGCUCCACAAUUUCUUUGCUACUGGCAAUAUGUAGGUUUCCCAUUCUCUCCCGGCCUUUCUCUCUUUUUAUGCGCUUUGGAAUGCUUCACCUUCAGUGAUCUUUGAUUUAUCCAACAAGAAACUCGUUAAUGACCCCACACAGAUUUCUCUCCUGUUUUCAAGGUGGUGACUUUUGAGUCAAAGUUGGAGGUUUGGGCUGGUAUUAUGCCUCCUAGCUAGUCGUCCACACCAUCACGUAAAAGGAGGAGCAGGCUCACAGGAACGAUUCCUCUUGUCAAGAACUAUAGAUCCAAGGUUGAGUCCGAGUCGUCUAAGGUGUAUUGCAAGAAUGACUUUGCCUAUUGAGUCUGUCAAAGAAUCUGUUUCCAAGUUUGGAGGAAGCAUAGAUUGGAAAGCCCAUCAUGCUCAGCAUAUCCAGAUUUCAAUAUUAAACCACUUGCUGUUUCUUCAAAGGCAAGCACUCAAGUCGUUGUUAAAGGUGUCAACCUUUUCCAUUCUAGCGCAAGGUAGAUCUCUGCCUCAUCGUCUGCAUUAUCUGAGUUGGCUCUUCUGCUCCUAACCAUACACAUGACCAGAUAGGUUACUCUGUGGACUUGAAAGGAAGUAUCUGGCACAGCAUAGUUGUUGUGACUUGAUCGAUGGUGUUGAUACAACAAGUGAACAUGAUGAGCAUCUAUGCCUCAGCUUCUCUUCUACCAUACCAAGUGUUACUAAGGGGAAUUUAUUGAGGGCUUAAACUUCCAGCAAUGAAAAAAAAUUCAUCAAAGACAGAAGAAUCAAACUCAGAAACAGGCUGUUAGACUGGGAGUACUUUUACCCACAACAUUUUUUUCCAGCCUUGAUCCAGAAUAAAAUAAGGAGUUCAUUGAGAAAUAUCAUGUCAAACAACCUAGGAAGAAGUCUGUGAUAAGAAGGUGCCAAACAUUGAUCAAAGUUGAGGUCAAAUGAAGAAUUAAUUAUUGGAAUAUGGGAUUAUUACUUCAAACACCUAUAGGGGUGAAGAACUUGAAGAGUUAUAUUCUUAUAGAUUUGUUUUAAAACUAAUUAAGUAUUGCAUUUGGUGGAGUUGGAGAGUAAAUUCAAAUUAUAUAUUAAUGAUUGUAAUUUUUUUCAUGAUUAAUAAUAGUUUGUUGCUAUA